This 228-nucleotide ribosomal RNA is filed under the name uncultured bacterium. Its description in RNAcentral is "partial 16S ribosomal RNA". It matches the Rfam family "Bacterial small subunit ribosomal RNA", at positions 568 to 795 of the family's 1533-position model. The record is from RNAcentral.
UGCGUAGGCGGAAUAUUAAGUCAGUGGUGAAAUCCUGCGGCUCAACCGUAGAACUGCCAUUGAUACUGAUAUUCUUGAAUGUAGUUGAGGUAGGCGGAAUGUGUAAUGUAGCGGUGAAAUGCUUAGAUAUUACACAGAACACCGAUUGCGAAGGCAGCUUACUAAACUAUGAUUGACGCUGAGGCACGAAAGCGUGGGGAGCAAACAGGAUUAGAUACCCUGGUAGUC